CGGACGGGUGAGUAAUGCUUGGGAAUCUGGCUUAUGGAGGGGGAUAACUACGGGAAACUGUAGCUAAUACCGCAUAAUAUCGAAAGAUUAAAGGGUGGGACUUUCGGGCCACCUGCCAUGAGAUGAGCCCAAGUGGGAUUAGGUAGUUGGUUAGGUAAAGGCUGACCAAGCCGACGAUCUCUAGCUGGUCUGAGAGGAUGACCAGCCACACUGGAACUGAGACACGGUCCAG
RNAcentral lists this ribosomal RNA (232 nucleotides) under uncultured bacterium. Its description in RNAcentral is "partial 16S ribosomal RNA". It matches the Rfam family "Bacterial small subunit ribosomal RNA", at positions 99 to 334 of the family's 1533-position model. The record is from RNAcentral.